GACGAACGCUGACGGUGUGCUUUAGACAUGCAAGUCGAACGAGAAAGCCCUUCGGGUUAGUAAAGUGGCGAACGGGUGAGUAACACGUGGGCAAUCUGCCCCUCGCAGGGGGACAACCGGAGGAAACUCCGGCUAAUACCCCGUAAGUUCAAAGGGAGGCAUCUCUCUUCGAAGAAAGGUAGCUUCGGCCAUCCGGCGAGGGAUGAGCCCGCGGUGCAUUAGCUAGUUGGUGGGGUAACGGCCUACCAAGGCGACGAUGCAUAGCUGGUCUGAGAGGAUGAUCAGCCACACUGGGACUGAGACACGGCCCAGACUCCUACGGGAGGCAGCAGUCGGGAAUCUUGCGCAA
RNAcentral lists this ribosomal RNA (349 nucleotides) under uncultured bacterium. RNAcentral's name for it is "bacterial SSU rRNA". It matches the Rfam family "Bacterial small subunit ribosomal RNA", at positions 28 to 371 of the family's 1533-position model. The record is from RNAcentral.